RNAcentral lists this non-coding RNA (22 nucleotides) under Rattus norvegicus (Norway rat). Lineage: Eukaryota; Metazoa; Chordata; Mammalia; Rodentia; Muridae. The record is from RNAcentral.
GUGAAAUGAGGGAGUUUGACUA